GCCAGGCAUGGUGGCGCUUGCCUGUAGUCCCAGCUACUCAGGAGGCUGAGAUGGGAGGAUCACUCGAGCCCAGGAGUUCGAGGCUGCAGUGAGCCGAGAUCACGCCACUGAACUCCAGCCUGGGCAACAGAGCGAGACCUUGUCUCAA
Molecule: signal recognition particle RNA, 148 nt
Filed under: Pan troglodytes (chimpanzee)
Lineage: Eukaryota; Metazoa; Chordata; Mammalia; Primates; Hominidae
Description: Metazoan signal recognition particle RNA
Rfam family: Metazoan signal recognition particle RNA
About the family: The signal recognition particle (SRP) is a universally conserved ribonucleoprotein. It is involved in the co-translational targeting of proteins to membranes.
Source: Rfam by way of RNAcentral